Long non-coding RNA from Diabrotica virgifera virgifera (western corn rootworm), 859 nucleotides. RefSeq lists it as uncharacterized. Lineage: Eukaryota; Metazoa; Arthropoda; Insecta; Coleoptera; Chrysomelidae. The transcript is spliced from 5 exons. The record is from RefSeq and is a predicted model, not a curated record.
ACAUAAUUUAUAUAAUUAAAAAAUAUAUUAAAAAUGAGCAAUACCAACGGAAAUCCUCCACGCAAAAAUUAUACUGAGAGAGAGAGAGAAAUGUUUGCUGUUGGAAAUAAUUGGAAAAUACAAGCAUAUUAAAUUGAAAACAAAUAAUGUACCAAUGCUAUGUCCACCAACCAAAACAAUGAAACCUGGGAAAAAAUAGCGCUGAAUUUCCCAGAACUCCCAAGCAGCUGAACACUGCAUAUAUAAACUUAAAAAGGGUCACUAGCCAAAAAGUAGCAGAGGAAAAUAUUCAAAAAUAUAAUGAGCAGAAGGUUUUGGACCAGUUGAAGAGAGACCAAACUGCGGACAAAAAAGACAUACUUGCAACAGGUGGUGGCACAUUUAGGCCUCGUCUCACAGAUGUAGGGGCACAAAUGUUGAGUUUGAUUGGCAAUCAAAUCCAACCUUUACCCAACAGUUGUGACAGUGCAUCUGGUUUCUUCACAUCUGUUGCACAAGACAGUCAAGUGGAAGUAGAUUACCUACAAUUGGAAGACACAUAGCAGACGUCCAAUGUACCCUCUACUUCCACUGUGCUGCUCAGUACACCCACGACAACUGCUGUCCUGCCCAAGAAGACAGCCAAGAUGUCUCAGGCUCGUUCAAAAAAUAAAAAAGUAAAAGAUGUAGGGAGCGAAACCCUUAAUGUAUCUUUUACAAAAAAAAUUGAAACAGCAAGACUAGAAAAAAGAAGUAAGAUAGUAUUUUUCAACAAGAAAAAAAGAAAUUUUAGAAGUAGAGCUUCAAAUAAAAAAAUUCGAUCUCAAUAAAUUAUUCGGUAAUAGUGGUUAGGUAUGUACCUAAUAAAGUAAUUUUAAAU